This is a long non-coding RNA of Prunus dulcis (almond), 1057 nucleotides long. RefSeq lists it as uncharacterized. NCBI's taxonomy places the organism in Eukaryota, Viridiplantae, Streptophyta, Magnoliopsida, Rosales, Rosaceae. The record is from RefSeq and is a predicted model, not a curated record. The transcript is spliced from 4 exons.
ACUUGUGCAUUUUUGGUCUGACAAGAAGGCAAUUUUCUUUUUGUUUCUUUUCAUCUUCCUUGCUUUUGCUGGUCUCUCCUUGGCCUUCCCAACUCUGUGUUUUUUUGUUCUGACACAAUAACAUAACCUCAACCCUCUUUUAUUUUAGAGUAGGUCCUGUAAGCCAUUUCUUCUUUCUUUUCCUUAUGUGCAACACGAAUUGGGUUUCUUUGCCUAACACAACAUGCACAAGCCGAAGAGCUAUUUGUGUAUUUUGUUGAGUUUGGCAGUACCAACUUCAUAGCUGAAGCUUCUCCCAUUUUUUAAUCUCAAAGAAGGCUUUCUUUGUUCUUGGCUUAUGUUGCUUCUGGGUUCUUCAACAGCCCCAACACAGGAGGCUUCUUGACUCACAUCAUUUGAGAGGGCCAUCAUACUGCCCAUUGAGGUGCUGGUUUUGCUUUGUCUUAGUUGCUUCAUGUUUUGCCAACAACAAAGUGAGAACCUUUUGCAAUUUGCUGCAGAGGAGUGCUGGCUUAGUAAUUUUCGUGAGCUGUCUGACUUGGGAUUUUUCUUUGUUGGUUAAUUUUGAAGCACAGAAAGUGGGUGUGAAUCAUCAGCUUUUCACGUUUUGCUACCUGUUCUUUCUCCAAUCUGCAGAUUUGGAAUUUUGCUCUGCUGAAGGUGGGUUGAGCAUGUAACAAAGCAUCUGAACUGUUGAUGUUUUCUGUUUUUGGUACUCAAGAACACUCACAAGGUCUUCUCUGAGUACCACAAUGUGCCUAUGGACACUCACAAGGUGUUCACAGCACUUGUACAGUGGGAUUCUUGUAGAAGCCCAUCUGUAAUUCACAAUAGAGAGGUCCUUGUGAGAGCUCUCUUUGUGUAAGUAGCAUAAUUAUUGCCAAUUUGGGAGGAUUUGUUCACAUUUUUUCCCUGCUGAGGUCUCUGUUGAUAUGAUAAAUUUCUUGAUAUCAAACAUGGAGGAAGUUCAGGCUUCUGUACAAUGGCCUCACAUACAUAUUUUUUUACCUGCAAGUCAGUUAUUCAUAAAGGAUACUUAAAUGAAUUUCUUUAUACC